Molecule: ribosomal RNA, 326 nt
Filed under: uncultured eukaryote
Lineage: Eukaryota
Description: partial 18S ribosomal RNA
Rfam family: Eukaryotic small subunit ribosomal RNA
Source: RNAcentral
CCCUUAGAUGUCCGGGGCCGCACGCGCGCUACACUGAAGGAAUCAGCGUGGCUUUCUCCCUGACCCGAAAGGGUUGGGAAACCCGUUGAAUCUCCUUCGUGAUAGGGAUUGGGGCUUGAAAUUGUUCCCCAUGAACGAGGAAUUCCCAGUAAGCGCGAGUCAUAAGCUCGCGUUGAUUACGUCCCUGCCCUUUGUACACACCGCCCGUCGCACCUACCGAUUGAAUGUUUCGGUGAAGAUUCCGGAUAGGACUGAUUUGAUUUAUUUCAUUUCUGACCUAAAAGCUAUCUAAACCUCAACAUUUAGAGGAAGGUGAAGUCGUAACA